GUUUUUCAAUUGAUGAUUUCAUAGUUCAACUGACGAACAUUGAUGUACACACGUAGCAAUGUCUUUCGCUCCUAUCUGAUAAAUUC
Diachasma alloeum is the source of this 86-nucleotide small nucleolar RNA. RefSeq annotates it as small nucleolar RNA snR60/Z15/Z230/Z193/J17. NCBI's taxonomy places the organism in Eukaryota, Metazoa, Arthropoda, Insecta, Hymenoptera, Braconidae. The record is from RefSeq and is a predicted model, not a curated record. The transcript has a single exon.